Molecule: ribosomal RNA, 698 nt
Filed under: uncultured bacterium
Lineage: Bacteria
Description: bacterial SSU rRNA
Rfam family: Bacterial small subunit ribosomal RNA
Source: RNAcentral
AGAGUUUGAUCAUGGCUCAGAACGAACGCUGGCGGCAUGCCUUAUACAUGCAAGUCGAACGAGAAAGCCUUCGGGUGAGUAAAGUGGCGCACGGGUGAGUAACGCGUGGGUAUCUACCCUUAAGUUGGGGACAACAUCGGGAAACCGGUGCUAAUACCGAAUGUGGAAGUAAUUCUAAAGGUGGCUUCGGCUAUCGCUUAAGGAAGGGCCCGCGUAGCAUUAGCUUGAUGGUGGGGUAACGGCCUACCAUGGCGACGAUGCUUAACUGGUCUGAGAGGAUGAUCAGUCACACUGGAACUGAGACACGGUCCAGACUCCUACGGGAGGCAGCAGUAGGGAAUAUUGCGCAAUGGGGGAAACCCUGACGCAGCAAUGCCGCGUGAGUGAGGAAGGUCUUCGGAUUGUAAAGCUCUGUCCUAUGAGAAGAACGGCUUUAUGGUUAAUACCCAUAUUGUUUGACGGUAUCAUAGAAGAAAGCACCGGCUAACUUCGUGCCAGCAGCCGCGGUAAUACGAAGGGUGCAAGCGUUGUUCGGAUUUAUUGGGCGUAAAGCGAGCGCAGGCGGAUAAUCAAGUCAGAUGUGAAAUCUCGGGGCUCAACCCCGAAACUGCGUCUGAAACUGGUUAUCUUGAAUCUCGGAGGGGGCAGGGGAAUUUCUCAUGUAGGGGUAAAAUCCGGAAAGAUGAGAAAGGAACACC